This 920-nucleotide ribosomal RNA is filed under the name uncultured bacterium. RNAcentral's name for it is "bacterial SSU rRNA". It matches the Rfam family "Bacterial small subunit ribosomal RNA", at positions 33 to 942 of the family's 1533-position model. The record is from RNAcentral.
ACGCUGGCGGCAUGCUUUACACAUGCAAGUCGGACGGCAGCACAGAGAAGCUUGCUUCUUGGGUGGCGAGUGGCGAACGGGUGAGUAACAUAUCGGAACGUACCUAGUAGUGGGGGAUAACUGAUCGAAAGAUCAGCUAAUACCGCAUACGUCUUGAGAGGGAAAGCAGGGGACCUUCGGGCCUUGCGCUAUUCGAGCGGCCGAUAUCUGAUUAGCUAGUUGGUGGGGUAAAGGCCUACCAAGGCGACGAUCAGUAGCGGGUCUGAGAGGAUGAUCCGCCACACUGGGACUGAGACACGGCCCAGACUCCUACGGGAGGCAGCAGUGGGGAAUUUUGGACAAUGGGCGCAAGCCUGAUCCAGCCAUGCCGCGUGUCUGAAGAAGGCCUUCGGGUUGUAAAGGACUUUUGUCAGGGAAGAAAAGGCUGUUGCUAAUAUCAGCGGCUGAUGGCGGUACCUGAAGAAUAAGCACCGGCUAACUACGUGCCAGCAGCCGCGGUAAUACGUAGGGUGCGAGCGUUAAUCGGAAUUACUGGGCGUAAAGCGAGCGCAGACGGUUACUUAAGCAGGAUGUGAAAUCCCCGGGCUCAACCUGGGAACUGCGUUCUGAACUGGGUGACUAGAGUGUGUCAGAGGGAGGUAGAAUUCCACGUGUAGCAGUGAAAUGCGUAGAGAUGUGGAGGAAUACCGAUGGCGAAGGCAGCCUCCUGGGAUAACACUGACGUUCAUGCUCGAAAGCGUGGGUAGCAAACAGGAUUAGAUACCCUGGUAGUCCACGCCCUAAACGAUGUCAAUUAGCUGUUGGGCAACUUGAUUGUUCAGUAGCGUAGCUAACGCGUGAAAUUGACCGCCUGGGGAGUACGGUCGCAAGAUUAAAACUCAAAGGAAUUGACGGGGACCCGCACAAGCGGUGGAUGAUGU